CCUUUCAUCACCAGCCAUAUUUCCCUAACCCUUAUUUGGCCUCAUCAAAUCUCGGUAAUGCAGCAACGUCACAAAUUUUCAAUCCCAUGAUUGGAAUGUUUGGAGAGAUGAUGUUUGCAAGAAUUUUUGGGACGACAGACGCAAGUUUGUUUGCUUAUUACUACCCAAAUUCUAACCAUCUGAUGGGAGGCUAUAGCCAUAGGAUGAGGAGGCAGGAGAUGCAGCUUGAAAAGUCUCUAAAUAGGGUGACAAUCUUUCUUCUUUGCUGCAUCAUUCUGUGUCUUCUCUUGUUUUGAUCAUUUUAGUUUUAAGCUUUUGUAUACUUGUAUUAAGUAAUGAAAAGAAGCCAUGAACAUAUUCACAGGACAUAGGCGCUAUUAGAAAAUUUCCUGGGAAAUCAGUUUGUGAGGUUUCCCAUGUGGCAUUUUUGCAUGUAAAUAAAUGUUAUUCUUUACAGGCACUUUCUCAUCCAUUAAUAUUAUUUGAUAUUCUUGAGCUCUA
This 501-nucleotide unclassified non-coding RNA is filed under the name Hevea brasiliensis (rubber tree). Lineage: Eukaryota; Viridiplantae; Streptophyta; Magnoliopsida; Malpighiales; Euphorbiaceae. The record is from RNAcentral.